This 253-nucleotide ribosomal RNA is filed under the name uncultured bacterium. Its description in RNAcentral is "partial 16S ribosomal RNA". It matches the Rfam family "Bacterial small subunit ribosomal RNA", at positions 524 to 776 of the family's 1533-position model. The record is from RNAcentral.
CACGUAGGGGGCGAGCGUUGUCCGGAUUCAUUGGGCGUAAAGGGCGCGUAGGCGGCUCGCUAAGUCGGAUGUGAAAACUCUGGGCUCAACCCAGAGCCUGCAUUCGAAACUGACGAGCUGGAGUUCUGGAGGGGAAAGCGGAAUUCCUGGUGUAGCGGUGAAAUGCGUAGAUAUCUGGAGGAACACCGGUGGCGAAGGCGGCAUCCUGGACCAACACUGACGCUGAGGAGCGAAAGCCAGGGGAGCAAACGGG